This 301-nucleotide ribosomal RNA is filed under the name uncultured bacterium. RNAcentral's name for it is "partial 16S ribosomal RNA". It matches the Rfam family "Bacterial small subunit ribosomal RNA", at positions 509 to 809 of the family's 1533-position model. The record is from RNAcentral.
CAGUCGCCGCGGUAAUACGUAGGUGGCAAGCGUUAUCCGGAAUUACUGGGCGUAAAGGGUGCGUAGGCGGAUUGUUAAGUCAGGGGUGAAAUCCCGAGGCUCAACCUCGGAACUGCCUUUGAUACUGGCGAUCUUGAGUCCGGGAGAGGUGAGUGGAACUGCGAGUGUAGAGGUGAAAUUCGUAGAUAUUCGCAAGAACACCGGUGGCGAAGGCGGCUCACUGGCCCGGAACUGACGCUGAGGAGCGAAAGCGUGGGGAGCGAACAGGAUUAGAUACCCCAGUAGUCCCUGUCUCUUAUAA